GAGGAAUAUUGGUCAAUGGGCGAGAGCCUGAACCAGCCAUGUCGCGUGCAGGAUGACGGCCCUACGGGUUGUAAACUGCUUUUGUACGGGAAGAAAAAACGCCACGUGUGGUGUCUUGCCGGUACCGUACGAAUAAGGAUCGGCUAACUCCGUGCCAGCAGCCGCGGUAAUACGGAGGAUCCGAGCGUUAUCCGGAUUUAUUGGGUUUAAAGGGUGCGUAGGCGGGAGAUUAAGUCAGUGGUGAAAGUUUGCGGCUCAACCGUAAAAUUGCCAUUGAUACUGGUUUUCUUGAGUACAGUUGAGGUAGGCGGAAUGUGGUGUGUAGCGGUGAAAUGCAUAGAUAUACCACAGAACACCGAUUGCGAAGGCAGCUUACUAAAGUGUAACUGACGCUGAGGCACGAAAGCGUGGGGAUCAAAC
This 420-nucleotide ribosomal RNA is filed under the name uncultured bacterium. RNAcentral describes it as "bacterial SSU rRNA". It matches the Rfam family "Bacterial small subunit ribosomal RNA", at positions 356 to 773 of the family's 1533-position model. The record is from RNAcentral.